GGGGGUGCAAUGGUUUCGACAGGGUCGGUGCGGUCAGAUAAGCGAGUAGAUGAGCUUAACAUCUUUAAAAUAAGCAACUUAAAAUUAAACGAUAACAAUAGAUUAUCUUUCGCUGCCUAGUUGCGGCGCGGUCGUGUAUCUCUGACCUGCAAGGGAUAUAACGAUUGUCAAAUUUUAGCAGGGACCUAUACUUUGGGUGUCUUGACAAAGCAUAGUAUCAAUUAAGGCUCGCGGGUUAUAAUUUUGUUCGUUUGAUAAUAGCUCGUUAAAUUUUAAAACAAACUGCACUCGGAGAAAGUCUGGUUUACCCGGUUUUGGACGGGGGUUCGAUUCCCCCCACCUCCACCA
This 348-nucleotide transfer-messenger RNA is filed under the name Anaerofustaceae. Its description in RNAcentral is "Anaerofustis sp900549875 Standard tmRNA". It matches the Rfam family "transfer-messenger RNA". Rfam says of the family: Bacterial tmRNA, also known as 10Sa RNA or SsrA, is named for its dual tRNA and mRNA-like properties. Lineage: Bacteria; Bacillati; Bacillota; Clostridia; Eubacteriales. The record is from RNAcentral. RNAcentral also lists the same sequence under 1 other name.